GACGAACGCUGGCGGCGUGCUUAACACAUGCAAGUCGAACGGAAAUGCCCUGCUUUUGUGGGGUGCUCGAGUGGCGAACGGGUGAGUAACACGUGAGUAACCUGCCCUUGACUUUGGGAUAACUUCAGGAAACUGGGGCUAAUACCGGAUAGGAGCUCCUGCUGCAUGGUGGGGGUUGGAAAGUUUCGGCGGUUGGGGAUGGACUCGCGGCUUAUCAGCUUGUUGGUGGGGUAGUGGCUUACCAAGGCUUUGACGGGUAGCCGGCCUGAGAGGGUGACCGGCCACAUUGGGACUGAGAUACGGCCCAGACUGCUACGGGAGGCAGCAGUGGGGAAUAGUGCACAAUGGGCGGAAGCCUGAUGCAGCAACGCCGCGUGCGGGAUGACGGCCUUCGGGUUGUAAACCGCUUUCGCCUGUGACAAAGCGUGAGUGACGGUAAUGGGUAAAGAAGCACCGGCUAACUACGUG
RNAcentral lists this ribosomal RNA (468 nucleotides) under uncultured bacterium. RNAcentral's name for it is "partial 16S ribosomal RNA". It matches the Rfam family "Bacterial small subunit ribosomal RNA", at positions 28 to 507 of the family's 1533-position model. The record is from RNAcentral.